This 1023-nucleotide long non-coding RNA is filed under the name Phaseolus vulgaris (common bean). RNAcentral's name for it is "long non-coding RNA (PVUL_LNC002536)". The record is from RNAcentral. Lineage: Eukaryota; Viridiplantae; Streptophyta; Magnoliopsida; Fabales; Fabaceae.
UUUUUCUUUCACACACCCUUUAUUUUUUCCUUCAAAAAGAUUGAAGAAAUUUGUACCAUUGAUUAUGUUUUGCGCUGUGUUUGUUUGUUUUUGGAGAAAUUUCUAAGCCUUAUGUUAAUUUCGUAGUGGGUCUGGUCGUUGAUCGGUUAUGGGCAUGCCAAGGUUUCUUCGGAGAUUCACAUGUUGGAUUAGAUUCUCUCUUUUGUUUGAUGGACAAUAAUUAUUUACUUUUGGAUUUUUCUUCUGGGGAUAAUGGGGAUCGUGUGUUGUUGGAUUGAUCAUUUAUAGCACAUUCACUGUUUGUUCUGAAGUAGAGUUUUCUAAGAAGAGAAUGUUAAAACUAAUUUUGUGAAUAUACUGUGUUAUUAUCUGAAAUUUAUUGGAAAUUGCUAAAUUUUGUAAGUUUUAUUUCUUAUUUUUAGUUUAAUGCAUGAUUUUAAUAACUUUAAAAUAUUAAUCAGUAAUGGCGAGUAAAUUAGGAGGAAAAUAUAUCAGAGAGUGUUGGCAGUUCUCUUUGGAAAAAUAAGCGAAAAGGGUAUGUUCUAGUAUGGUAUGGUGGAAAGAGGGUGAAAGAGGAAGGAAGAGAGUGGAAGUUUAUGGUUUGGUAGGAAAGAAAGAAGUGGAAAUGGUAAACAAAUUAGGCGAACAUGGCAUUUUCCCCCCUGCAUUUUUGUAAAGAAAACCGUGGGAAGUUUAACCAAAAUGCAACAUAAUAAAUUAUGAUAUCUAACAUAAUCUAUUAUGAUAUCUAACAUAAUCUAUUAUGUUGCAAAUAUUUGUCAUUUGAAGCUUGUAGAAGCCCCACAAUCGAUCAUCAGAAGCCAUGAUUGAUUAUUGAUUAUUGAUUGUUAGGAUAAAUUUGCAUUUAUAGUAUGUGAGUUGAUAACUAGAUUUGUGGCGUGAAUUUUGUUCUUUGUUUGUAGUAAUAGAAAUGCAAACGGAUAUCUGUUUUCUAUUUAUUUUGUAGUAAAGGGGAUUUUAAUUUUAUUUUUCUUUUACUGAUUGGUGAUGGCUAUGCAGAAC